Pelobates cultripes (western spadefoot toad) is the source of this 222-nucleotide non-coding RNA. The record is from the annotation of a GenBank genome assembly. NCBI's taxonomy places the organism in Eukaryota, Metazoa, Chordata, Amphibia, Anura, Pelobatidae.
CAGGGAGUGCAGAAUUAUUAGGCAAGUUGUAUUUUUGAGGAUUAAUUUUAUUAUCGAACAACAACCAUGUUCUCAAUGAACCCAAAAAACUCAUUAAUAUCAAAGCUGAAUAUUUUUGGAAGUAGUUUUUAGUUUGUUUUUAGUUGUAGCUAUGUUAGGGGGAUAUCUGUGUGUGCAGGUGACUAUUACUGUGCAUAAUUAUUAGGCAACUUAACAAAAAAC